UGUGUCCGAAGCUGGAAGCUGCCCCAGCCAAACACUGGAAACACCCAGCUCUCCACCAAGAUAACCCACGUGAGCCACAGCUUGCAGGCAAUAUCCCAUCUCCAUCCUCACCACUGCUCAGCCCAGACCUCCCUCAUCUUCCUGGCCUGCAGACCUUAGCAGUGGCUGUUUCCACCCCUGGAACACCCUUCCCACCUGGUGCCUGCAGGGCCCAUGCACGGCAUAUUCACUGCUGUAUCCCCAGAGCCUAGCACAGUGCCUGGUGCAGAGAUGAUUUUCAGCAAAGAGCCACUGAAGGGAAGAUACCUACGUGACUGUGAGGAGACACAGGCUGGACGAUGAAUGUGAUGGCUGGAACUCAAGCAGCCACAGUGGAUCAUAAGGGACGGUGUCUUGCUAUGUUGUCCAAGCUGACCUCAAACUGGCCUGAAGCAAUGCUUCCACCUCAGCUGCCAGAGGAAUCAGGAUUACAGGCCUGAGCCACUGCAGCCAGCCAGUUUGUUAUUUUAAUGUAAAUUCUUAGUAAACAACUCUCUUGUCCUUUUAAAAUCCAAUUCAACUGCUGCUAAUCGGAGUGUAUAUUCAGGGCAACUUGAAUCUGUGCUCCUGGGAUGCAGUCCUCAAGCUUGGCCCAAAUAAAGUCUCUGCUGAUAUUAA
This 657-nucleotide non-coding RNA is filed under the name Pongo abelii (Sumatran orangutan). Lineage: Eukaryota; Metazoa; Chordata; Mammalia; Primates; Hominidae. The record is from RNAcentral.